GACGAACGCUGACGGCGUGCUUAACACAUGCAAGUCGAACGGAAAGGCCCUGCUUUUGUGGGGUGCUCGAGUGGCGAACGGGUGAGUAACACGUGAGUAACCUGCCCUUGACUUUGGGAUAACUUCAGGAAACUGGGGCUAAUACCGGAUAGGAGCUCCUGCUGCAUGGUGGGGGUUGGAAAGUUUCGGCGGUUGGGGAUGGACUCGCGGCUUAUCAGCUUGUUGGUGGGGUAGUGGCUUACCAAGGCUUUGACGGGUAGCCGGCCUGAGAGGGUGACCGGCCACAUUGGGACUGAGAUACGGCACAGACUCCUACGGGAGGCAGCAGUGGGGAAUAUAGCACAAUGGGCGGAAGCCUGAUGCAGCAACGCCGCGUGCGGGAUGACGGCCUUCGGGUUGUAAACCGCUUUCGCCUGUGACGAAGCGUGAGUGACGGUAAUGGGUAAAGAAGCACCGGCUAACUACGUG
This 468-nucleotide ribosomal RNA is filed under the name uncultured bacterium. RNAcentral's name for it is "partial 16S ribosomal RNA". It matches the Rfam family "Bacterial small subunit ribosomal RNA", at positions 28 to 507 of the family's 1533-position model. The record is from RNAcentral.